UACGGAGGGUGCAAGCGUUGUUCGGAAUCAUUGGGCGUAAAGCGCGUGUAGGUGGCUUGGCAAGUCGGUUGUGAAAUCCCGGGGCCCAACCCCGGAACUGCAUUCGAAACUGCCUCACUAGAGUCCCGGAGAGGAAGGCGGAAUUCCCGGUGUAGAGGUGAAAUUCGUAGAUAUCGGGAGGAACACCAGCGGCGAAGGCGGCCUUCUGGACGGUGACUGACACUGAGACGCGAAAGCGUGGGGAGCAAACAGG
RNAcentral lists this ribosomal RNA (253 nucleotides) under uncultured bacterium. RNAcentral's name for it is "partial 16S ribosomal RNA". It matches the Rfam family "Bacterial small subunit ribosomal RNA", at positions 524 to 776 of the family's 1533-position model. The record is from RNAcentral.